UAAAAGAUAAGCUAACUAAAGCUGUUGAGCUCAUAACUCAAAUAUAGUGUUGUACACUUCUUUUAA
This 66-nucleotide transfer RNA is filed under the name Parasacculina yatsui. Its description in RNAcentral is "tRNA-Met". Lineage: Eukaryota; Metazoa; Arthropoda; Thecostraca; Polyascidae. The record is from RNAcentral.